RNAcentral lists this unclassified non-coding RNA (401 nucleotides) under Hevea brasiliensis (rubber tree). The record is from RNAcentral. Lineage: Eukaryota; Viridiplantae; Streptophyta; Magnoliopsida; Malpighiales; Euphorbiaceae.
GUGGAAAGAACUAUCAAAGAGGUCCUGCCCGCUGUUCAACGCAACAAAGAGGGACUCGAGGAGGUUAUUUCCAGGCUCAAUGAGGCCUUGGAGAAGAAGAAGAAGGAAAUUUCUGACUUGGAGGCCAAAUACAAGAUCAGGAUUAGAAAGCCUGAUGGUGAGGCUAAGGAGGAAGACACUGGGCGAAAAGAGGGUGCAGCCCAAGGAGUGUUAGUAGGCCCUGCAGGUGAAAGUUAAACUCUCAACCCAAUGGUGAACUUUUAUUAUAUUCUUGUAGUGCUGAACUUUUAGUUUCAUCUGAUGGUUCACUCUUAUAAGCGUGUUUGUGUUGAAAUUUUGUUUUGACAACUUUCAGUUCAAUAGGAAGAUUCCAGGACUUGUAUGGUAUAUAGAUGAUUUUG